Suricata suricatta (meerkat) is the source of this 311-nucleotide long non-coding RNA. RefSeq lists it as uncharacterized. The transcript is spliced from 3 exons. NCBI's taxonomy places the organism in Eukaryota, Metazoa, Chordata, Mammalia, Carnivora, Herpestidae. The record is from RefSeq and is a predicted model, not a curated record.
UCCUCCACUCACACUCUUUCUCAAAAUAAACCUCUAAAACACAUCACCACAGAAGUUAAGAUUGGACUGAAAUAAGACUAAUCCCUGUGGAACUUGGUGUACCUACAUGCUCAGGAGGGUUUAAACAGAUGUGCGAGAUACAGACAUCCUCUGCUCACUCGUUUCCACCCUUGCCUCUGAGACUUUGUUGAAGAGUUGGAAUCAUCACUAGAGCCAAGAAAUUGGGAGGAGCCCCCAUUUGGAACUUGAGCGCUCUACGAGCUCUCCACCUUGUAGUGAAGUGAAGUUGAAAGAACACAAGACGGGAUCUU